UCAAUUGCCAGAUUCUACUUCAACUAGCAACGUUAUUUAAAUACUAUCGUUAAUUAAAUACUAUCUAUCGGCCGCCACAUUUAUUUACAAUCGACAUUUUUACGUUCUGCAAACGUUUGUUGUUGCUGCUUUAAAUUUGUGCUUUCUACCGCUCCGCGCCUGUUGUGUGUGUUCGAUGUGUUGUACGCUGCCCAUAGACCAUGUCUGCGUCUAUGCUGUAGUGCUUUUGAAGGCUCGUUCCUGCCGGCCUGUCACCUUUGCAGCUCUCCUUGAGUGGAACCAUUGACUACGUACUUCUGCGAAGGCGGUGCUCUUCCAGUUGGGGACCUUGGGGCAGCUGGAGACUAGAGACUGCCUUAACUGUAGCUCAGCCCUUACAAACCGCUUAGGCGGUUAAAUAGCAGCAAAUUGACGCACCCGACGCGGCUAAUCUCGGUCCCAAAUAGCAAUAGUUAAAUUCUUAAUGCCGACUUCUUAGUACCCUGCCGCGAGUUCCCUUUCCGUUUCCGGUCAGUAAGCAGAAGCAAACGCCAAAGGCAUUCGGUUUUAUGGUUGUGCUGUGCCCCUCUCCGUUGCGACCUUUUUGGCAGCAAAGAAAAAGUGCUGCGAAUUUAGUUUAAGUAGUUGCCAUGCAGCUUGUAAGCACUUCCUGCGGCAAGGCAUCGCGUAUUUGCAGCAUGCAGGACAUAAGUGAAGAAGAAGAGAGAUGAGAUGCUGAGCCGAAAAGCAUAUGAUUUCUCUUGACACAGAUAAUUGAAAUACAAAGCAAGUAAGAGGCUCGCAAAUCAUUUGCCUGAGUUAAUAUUUCUGGUUUCUGUGAAAAUAUUAUAAGUAAAUAUACUCAAGAGAUUGCCGUUUGUAUGGUAUAUGGUCUAAUGGUAUAUGUUUUCGGACUGCAACUGUAUGUAACAUUAAUAGGUGCUCGAAUUGUGCGUAUGAUAAUUGGGACGAAAAUUCUCCUUAUUUUUUUAAUCCGAUUUGUAAGAAAGCAGCAAUUAAAUAAGCUAAAUAAUAUAUGUAUUUUACCCUUUCAGACUGCUUCGGGUCAGCAGCUCCUAAUAAAACCAUGUUCAUAUUGAAUACUGAGGGGUCAAACUAACAGACUCAUUGAGUAGUAAAUAUACAGAUCUGUUUAUUACUCAAUGUAACAGAGUGUUAAAUUAUGAGCGACUCAUCUGAACGAAAAAACCGGCGCACAGAAAAUAAGCAAGCGAUCAAAAUACGAGUGAGAAUGAUGCGGCACAUGGCUUAUCAUACACACACACGCACACACACCCACAUCCACACAAACACGUGUACGCGCAGAGAUGAGCCAAGAGAACGCCAGAGAUAAGCAGUCAGCUGUUCGUGUGUGUGUUCGCUGUCAAUUUUCUGCUUACGCUCACGCACUCACGAUUCAAUUUGGUGCUGAUCGCUGAUUGGUCCAAUCAAUAGCCGCGAAGGCAGUGAAGCGCUCGUCUGUUCGUGAGAGUGCUCAUCUUUUUGAGCGCCGUCUUAUGGAUCCGCGCAACUUUAUUCUGAGUCAGUGUGGCCCUGUUAAUCAACAGGGCAUGAUCUUGCGAGCUGCGAGUGAUAGUCUAUUAAGCCUAUUAUUAUUUUGUUAUAGCUUUUUGUGCAUGUGCUGAUGUUUAAGUAGAUAAGGCGAUUCUCUAUGGAUAUGUACAUAUGCUUGGCUUAUCUGUCAUGGACAACAAAACAUUCACCUAUGUUGGCACCUGCAUGAGCUUGGAUAUUUUAUGCCAUGGAUAUACCUUAAACAAAAUCAGAUCUUAAUUAUGACCAAAAUUAACUCGUUGCCAAUCUGCGCCGAUUCUCAAAUCAACAUUUUGAAUUGAAUUCUGUCGAUUUGAAGACUCACGAAUCCUUAAGAGUAACAUAUGUAUAUCCAACGUCUGACCCAAAUCUGCCAACGUUCAUGGAAAACAUCGUCAACAUCAACAACAUCAACAAAUAUCGUUUUUUCUUCGGUGGAGUUAUGUAUCUUUCAAAUAAAACAAAAGCAAUAUUUCUGAACGGCGGACCUGCGCCGCCAGCUGUAUCAGCCAACUCUGCCACACCCAUGGACAACAUUUAAUCAGCAAAUGAUCGCUAUUUAUGGUACCUAGUUGACCUACAUGUCCUUGGUUAUUUCACAUCAUGGAUAUAGUCCUAGCGAACCUAAUGGAUGAAGUUCUUGCAAAAUGCGUGGGAACAGGCUCCAAAAUAUGUAUGAUUUUCUUUAACAGCCGCCCCCAUAAACAGUUCCGCCCCCUAAAUGGUUUCUAGUUGACUAGAAUAUCCUUGGUUAUACCAUACCAUCGAUAUAGUCCUUAGAAACCUUAAAGAUCAGAUCCCUGCAAAAUGUGCAUUAUAAUGGUCCAAAAACAUGUAUGCUUUUUCUUUCAGGAGCCCUU
Molecule: long non-coding RNA, 2393 nt
Organism: Drosophila virilis
Lineage: Eukaryota; Metazoa; Arthropoda; Insecta; Diptera; Drosophilidae
Source: RefSeq, a predicted model, not a curated record